UAGUCACAGCCAUAAAACAAAGAUUAAUUAAAAAGCGUUAAUCCUGCUGAUCAUCCAGAAAGCUGGCUCAAUUCAUCCACCACCUCAUCAAUCUCUUCAUCCCCUUUCUUUCUUAUAUUCUCACUCAUUUCCCUUGCUUUCCUCCUCAAUUUCUCUCCAUUUUUCUCCACCACCACCUCUUUGAUCACUCUUGCCAUCUCUUCCCUUUCAAUCCUCCCAUUCUCGUUUCUUCUCACCUCCAUCCCAACGCCAACAUCUUCAACCAGUCUUGCAUUCAACGGCUGAUCAAGAUGCAUCGGCAUCGCGAUAAUCGGAACACCAAGCUUCAUGCUCUCCAUCACCGAGCUCCAUCCACAGUGACUCACAAAACCUCCAAUGCCCC
RNAcentral lists this long non-coding RNA (382 nucleotides) under Citrus sinensis (sweet orange). Its description in RNAcentral is "long non-coding RNA (CSIN_LNC004403)". Lineage: Eukaryota; Viridiplantae; Streptophyta; Magnoliopsida; Sapindales; Rutaceae. The record is from RNAcentral.